CAGGCAACAAUGCGGAGGCAGGAGGCUGACUUUCCUUGAAGUUUUCGCCUCAAAUACCGCCAUCACGCAGGUGUCCGUGGCAAUCAUGUGAGCUGUUUCACAUGGCACAGCUUCUCAAAGUGUGAAGAGUUCCACUUAACCAAAACUGCCUAAGAACAUGCUCUGAUUUCAGUGCCUAAACAUGAUGUGAACAGCCUCAAGAAAGAAGUAGCUUAAGAAAUCUUAAAAUUUACAUCCUCUUGUUUUGUUUUUUUUUAAUUCACUUCUCUUCCUUUUGGGGGCUAAAAUUUUUUGGUGAGAUAAAUUAGAUAAACAAGAAAAGUCAAGAAAAGAAAUAGCAGCUAUAAAGCAAAAAUGAUGAACAGAUUAAAUUCCAUGUCAGUCAUGCUAACAGCAUGAUUAUUUGUUUUAGGCA
This is a long non-coding RNA of Mastomys coucha (southern multimammate mouse), 415 nucleotides long. RefSeq lists it as uncharacterized. Lineage: Eukaryota; Metazoa; Chordata; Mammalia; Rodentia; Muridae. The record is from RefSeq and is a predicted model, not a curated record. The transcript is spliced from 2 exons.